This 97-nucleotide non-coding RNA is filed under the name Aristerostoma sp. ATCC 50986. Lineage: Eukaryota; Ciliophora; Colpodea; Cyrtolophosidida; Cyrtolophosididae. The record is from RNAcentral.
AGCCCCCAAAAAAAACCCAAAAAAAAAAAAAAAAAAAAAAAUCAAAAAAAAUAAUUUUCUUUUCGAAUUUUUCCCCUCCAUUCUAAAAUUAUUGUUU